AGCAUUGUGCACUGGCUAUAACGUGAUCGAUAAGACUUUGCCGACGUUCGUUUAUUGAAGGUUGAAAACUGCUCCGCAAUUGCACGUGAUCGCCCAGGAAGUAUAGGUGCGACACGCAGGUUUUGAACGACCCAAGUGG
RNAcentral lists this small nuclear RNA (139 nucleotides) under Angiostrongylus costaricensis. RNAcentral's name for it is "U4 spliceosomal RNA". It matches the Rfam family "U4 spliceosomal RNA". Rfam says of the family: U4 small nuclear RNA (U4 snRNA) is a component of the major U2-dependent spliceosome. The structure of U4 snRNA from yeast and human has been reported. The record is from Rfam by way of RNAcentral. Lineage: Eukaryota; Metazoa; Nematoda; Chromadorea; Rhabditida; Metastrongylidae.